Molecule: ribosomal RNA, 119 nt
Filed under: Pteropus alecto (black flying fox)
Lineage: Eukaryota; Metazoa; Chordata; Mammalia; Chiroptera; Pteropodidae
Source: RNAcentral
GUCUAUGGCCAUGCUAUUCUGAACACACCCGAUCCCGUGUGAUCUCGGAAGCUAAGCUAGGUCAGGCCUGGUUAGCACUUGGAUGGGAGACCACCUAGGAAGACCAGGUGCCGUAGGCA